GAUGAACGCUGGCGGCGUGCUUAACACAUGCAAGUCGAACGGAAAGGCCCAAGCUUGCUUGGGUCCUCGAGUGGCGAACGGGUGAGUAACACGUGGGUGAUCUGCCCUGCACUGCGGGAUAAGCCUGGGAAACUGGGGCUAAUACCGGAUAGGACCACAUUCUGGAUGGUGUGGUGGAAAGUUUUUCGGUGUGGGAUGAGCUCGCCGCCUAUCAGCUUGUUGGUGGGGUAAUGGCCUACCAAGGCGUCGACGGGUAGCCGGCCUGAGAGGGUGGACGGCCUCAGUGAGACUGGGAUUGGGACCCGGCUCCUACGGGGGGCGGCAGUGGGAGAUGGUGCUCAAUGGGAGUGGGCCUGAUGCAGCCGCGCCGAGGGCGGGAUGACGGCCUUCGGGUUGUGAACUCCUUACGCUAGGGACGAGGCGGUAUGUGACGGUACCUGGAGAAGAAGCCCCGGCUAACUACGUG
RNAcentral lists this ribosomal RNA (466 nucleotides) under uncultured bacterium. RNAcentral describes it as "partial 16S ribosomal RNA". It matches the Rfam family "Bacterial small subunit ribosomal RNA", at positions 28 to 507 of the family's 1533-position model. The record is from RNAcentral.